RNAcentral lists this ribosomal RNA (488 nucleotides) under uncultured bacterium. Its description in RNAcentral is "partial 16S ribosomal RNA". It matches the Rfam family "Bacterial small subunit ribosomal RNA", at positions 30 to 523 of the family's 1533-position model. The record is from RNAcentral.
AUUGAACGCUGGCGGCAGGCCUAACACAUGCAAGUCGAGCGGGGUUUUCGGACCUAGCGGCGGACGGGUGAGUAAUGCGUAGGAAGCUGCCCGAUAGAGGGGGAUACCAGUUGGAAACGACGGUUAAUACCGCAUAAUGUCUACGGACCAAAGUGUGGGACCUUCGGGCCACAUGCUAUCGGAUGAGCCUCCGUGGGAUUAGCUAGUUGGUGAGGUACUGGCUCACCAAGCAGACGCUCUCUAGCUGGUUUGAGAGGAUGAUCAGCCACACUGGAACUGGGACACGGUCCAGACUACUACGGGGGGCAGCAGUGGGGAAUAUUGGACAAUGGGCGCAAGCCUGAUCCAGCCAUGCCGCGUGUGUGAAGAAGGCCUUCGGGUUGUAAAGCACUUUCAGCGAGGAGGAAGGGUGGUGUGUUAAUAGCACAUCAUUUUGACGUUACUCGCAGAAGAAGCACCGGCUAACUCUGUGCCAGCCGCCGCGGUAA